Molecule: long non-coding RNA, 828 nt
Filed under: Cricetulus griseus (Chinese hamster)
Lineage: Eukaryota; Metazoa; Chordata; Mammalia; Rodentia; Cricetidae
Description: lncRNA (ENSCGRG00015040269.1)
Source: RNAcentral
CACGAAUUGUCGUGGUCAUGGUGUUGAAAGGUUCAGGCUUUGACGCUGAUGGCUCUACCUCCUUAAGAGACAGACCCACCCCCUGACACAGUCGGGGCAGGCACAGGAAAACUUGCUAAGUCAUCGCAGGACACCCGCCAUGCAUUACACCUGCUGAAGACUCUGGGCAUGCGUAGAACCUCAGUGCACAGGAGGUUCUGUGUUCCUGCCUCAUUGACAGGUGGCCAUGAUGUUACUGCUCAAUCCUGACAAGAAGGUUCCUGGUAUCUAAGACGUAGGACUCGUUUGCAGGGAGAAGACGGCUGUCCUUAGAGGCAACAUUUACUUUUAGCAGCUUUAGGCCUGGCACAGGAAGCAGUCAGAUGAGUUGGACUCUCACAUCUGCCUCCUUCUGCAAAUUCAUCCAGUGCUCCAGAUCCUCGUUUGGUUUCCAGGCUCAGACCCUCUUGGUGGCCAAGCUAGAACCUGGAGAUCGGUCCCCUUACCUUCCCAGUCUCUUCCACCUCUGAUCAGCCAACAGUCUUACUGUACUGCCUUAGCUGACCUUGAACAUCUGGCUCCCAAGAUCUUGCUUCAGCUUCCCAAGUCUAUGGUCCCUAGCUGGCCUGAAAUCCUCAGAAAUCUACCUGCCUCAGCCUCCUGAGUGCUGGGAUUAAAGGCGUGGGGGUGGACUUUGAGGUCUCCUAUGCUCAAGCUACUCUCAGCGAGACAGACCACUUCCUGUUGUCUGACUAUCAAGAUAAAGGGCUCUCAGCCCCAGCACCAUAUCAGCCUGCAUGUCACCAUGUGACACCAUGUGAUAAUGGACUAAACCUCUGAAAAUGUAAG